This 250-nucleotide ribosomal RNA is filed under the name uncultured bacterium. RNAcentral describes it as "partial 16S ribosomal RNA". It matches the Rfam family "Bacterial small subunit ribosomal RNA", at positions 102 to 339 of the family's 1533-position model. The record is from RNAcentral.
ACGGGUGAGUAACGCGUAAGUGAUCUACCCCUGUAUUUGGGAUAACUAUGGGAAACUGUAGCUAAUACCGGAUACGUUCAUGUUCUUGCGAGUAUAUGAAGAAAGAUGGCCUCUGAUUCAAGCUAUUGUACAGGGAGGAGCUUGCGUACCAUUAGCUAGUUGGUAGGGUAAUGGCCUACCAAGGCGACGAUGGUUAGCGGGUCUGAGAGGAUGAUCCGCCACACUGGAACUGAAACACGGACCAGACUCC